This 222-nucleotide long non-coding RNA is filed under the name Carica papaya (papaya). RNAcentral describes it as "long non-coding RNA (CPAP_LNC011134)". Lineage: Eukaryota; Viridiplantae; Streptophyta; Magnoliopsida; Brassicales; Caricaceae. The record is from RNAcentral.
AAUGAUUUGAUGAUGAUGAUGAUGAUGUGGAUUAGAGUUAAGAUCAUCAUCAUGUAUGAUGAAAAUUGAGAGAUAAGAUCGCUGAUUGGUUUAGUUUGCUAAAGAUCGAUGACUAAGCUUCAGACAUACAACUGGAUUUGCAUAAACCUAAUUCGACGAUCCAUCACGUGGUCAACGACGAUUACAACAAGAGUGUAUACAACCCAUAAAACACUGCUGUAU